AAACCGGAGCUAAUACCCCAUAAGCCCUUCGGGGAAAGUUUUUCGCCAUUAGAUGAGCCCGCGUUAGAUUAGCUAGUUGGUAGGGUAAUGGCCUACCAAGGCGACGAUCUAUAGCUGGUCUGAGAGGAUGAUCAGCCACACUGGGACUGAGACACGGCCCAGACUCCUACGGGAGGCAGCAGUGGGGAAUAUUGCACAAUGGGCGCAAGUGAUGCAGCCAUGCCGCGUGUGUGAUGAAGGCCUUAGGGUUGUAAAACACUUUCAUCGGUGAAGAUAAUGACGGUAGCCGAAGAAGAAGCCCCGGCUAACUCCGUGCCAGCAGCCGCGGUAAUACGGAGGGGGCAAGCGUUGUUCGGAAUUACUGGGCGUAAAGCGCACGUAGGCGGACUGGUCAGUUGGGGGUGAAAUCCCGAGGCUUAACCUCGGAACUGCCUUCAAUACUGCCAGUCUUGAGAUCGGAAGAGGUGAGUGGAAUUCCUAGUGUAGAGGUGAAAUUCGUAGGUAUUAGGAAGAACACCAGUGGCGAA
This 527-nucleotide ribosomal RNA is filed under the name uncultured bacterium. RNAcentral describes it as "bacterial SSU rRNA". It matches the Rfam family "Bacterial small subunit ribosomal RNA", at positions 154 to 719 of the family's 1533-position model. The record is from RNAcentral.